CAACUUUCAGCAAUGGAUCUCUUGGCUUCCGCAUCGAUGAAGAACGCAGCGAAUUGCGAAAUGUAAUGUGAAUUGCAGAAUUCCAGUGAAUCAUCGAGUCUUUGAACGCACCUUGCGCCUUGGGGUUUUCCUCAAGGCACGUUUGUUGGAGUGUCUCGU
Molecule: ribosomal RNA, 159 nt
Filed under: Chionosphaera apobasidialis
Lineage: Eukaryota; Fungi; Basidiomycota; Agaricostilbomycetes; Agaricostilbales; Chionosphaeraceae
Description: 5.8S ribosomal RNA
Rfam family: 5.8S ribosomal RNA
About the family: 5.8S ribosomal RNA (5.8S rRNA) is a component of the large subunit of the eukaryotic ribosome.
Source: RNAcentral